Molecule: long non-coding RNA, 20807 nt
Filed under: Triticum aestivum (bread wheat)
Lineage: Eukaryota; Viridiplantae; Streptophyta; Magnoliopsida; Poales; Poaceae
Description: long non-coding RNA (TAES_LNC010988)
Source: RNAcentral
UUUUUUUAGGGUUCGAGGUAGGGGACGAUCCAAAAACGAGGGGGGGUGUUUAAAUAGGCAUAGAGGGAGCUAGGAGAGUCCAAAUGAGGUGCGGUUUUCGCCCACACGAUCAUGAUCGAACGACCGAGACGAUGGAGCAGAGUUUGGUGGGUUUUGGGCCAAAUUGGAGGGGUGUUGGGCUGCAACACACACGAGGCCUUUUCGGUCCCUCGGUUAACCGUUGGAGUAUCAAACGAAGUCCAAAUGACCCGAAACUUGACAGGCGGUCUACCGGUAGUAAACCAAGGCCGCAUGGCAAGUCUCGGUCCAAUCCGGAAAUGUUUAAUCCCCACACACGAAAGAAAGCUAGAAAUGGCCACCGGAGGAGAACGAAGCGCCGGAAUGCAAAACGGACAACGGGGAAAAUGCUCGAAUGCAUGAGAUGAACAUGUAUGCAAAUGCAAUGCACGUGAUGACAUGACAUGAGAUGCACGAAAACGAAAACAACACACGGAGACAAAGACCCGAACCCGAGGAAUAAAUAUAACUUAAUGCCGGAAACGGCAAGAGUUGGAGUACAAAUCGGGAAAGCCACAUAUGGGGCGUUACAGUGAUGAACUUAAAAGAAAAUACCGGCUUGCUAAGUGGGAUAUUAUCUGUCGACCCAAAGACCAAGGAGACUUGGUAUUGAGAAUCUUGAAGUUAAGAACAGAUGCCUUCUUAGUAAGUGGUUGUGGAAGCUCGCUUCAGGGACUGAAGCCAUGUGGGCGCAGAUCCUUCGCGACAAGUACCUCCAGACUAGAACGCUGUCUCAGGUAACAGUUAGGCCGAUCGCCUUUAUGAAAAGGACUCAUGAAAGUCAAACAAUUACUGUUCAAUAGGACAAGAGUUGUUAUUGGAAAUGGGGCUACUACACGUUUCUGGAAGGAUACUUGGCUUGGCGACUCACCCCUGGCCAUUUAAUAUCCGUCUUUAUAUCGUAUUGCUCAACGACGUGAGGUGUUCGUGGCAACAGUAUUUCAUUCUAUCCCCCUUAAUAUUCAGUUUAGACGAUCGCUAGCGGGCAAUCGUUGGGAAGUUUGGCUCCAUUUGGUUAGGAGACUAAUGAAGGUUCAGCUUUCUGACCAUCCUGAUGAAUUACGCUGGAAGUUGACUAGGUCUGGAGUAUUUACAGUUAGGUCAAUGUAUAAUGAUGUUAUUAAUUCGAACUCCAUUCCAACUUCCAAGAAUGUCUGGGAUGUCAAAGUUCCUUUGAAAAUAAAAGUGUUUAUGUGGUUUGUCCAUAAACAAGUUAUUCUAACAAAGGACAACUUAAUAAAGCGUAAUUGGACAGGACCUACUAGGUGUAGUUUCUGUGAUCGGGAUGAGACGAUUAAGCAUCUAUUUUUUGAUUGCCCGUUGGCCAAGGUCCUUGGCAGACGGUCCACAUAUUAAUGCUUUAUUUGGGACUUGGCUUAAUGGGAUUGAGUCUACCUUAGCAAGACAUAUUCGGGUUGGAGUCUGCGCUUUGCUGUGGACCAUCUGGCUUUGCAGAAAUGAUUUGGUUUUUAACAGAACAUCACGGAUUCAUUUUUUGCAGAUUAUUUUCCGAGCUACGGCAGUGAUCCGUUUGUGGUCGCUACUCACUUCGAUGGAGGCCAGGGAGUAUUUGGUUACUGGGUUUAUCCGUUGGGAGAUGAUAGCUCGGGAUAUCUUCAACCGGUUUGGAUGGCGGUCAUGUAAUAGGAUAGGCAAUUAGUUUACCUACCUUGUUUAGCCAGCCGGUUGUGGCAUCUUUUCCUGGCCAGUUUGUGUAUCUAGCCUUUUGCGCUCUGUGUGAGCUGCUUUUUCCUUUUUUUUAGUUUGAGACUUUGGAACUUUGUUGGCACAGUUUGUUUGUUGGUUAAUAAGAUGGCCGUAUGCAUCACCCUUGAUGCAGAGGCCAGGGAGCCCCCCUUUUCGAAAAAAGGACACCACCAAUCAAGCACAUGGAUCCAUCAGUCAAUUGGACGAGACUUGCCUGCUCCCUUCCCGUGUGCCCAUCCGUGCUCCCGCAUAUGUGGCUUGAUUUGAUUGGACAAAAUAAGGCCCGGCCCCACCCCCUUAAAAUCAGGGGGGAGAUGAUUAGAUUAGAAAGGAAAAAGGGAAAAAGACAGCCGUAGGAUGAAGUGGGAGCACGGAUGGGAGCAUGGGGAGGGAGCAGGCAAGCCGGAUUCCAGUCAAUCGAUCUAACAACAACAACUUCACCUCAAUGAUAAAAACUGGUGGAGAAAUGCUUACCCACAUUCUAAAUUUGUGACGCGGCACUUUUUAUCCACAUCCCCCUUUAUUUUAUUCAAAAAGUGGCCAUGUGGCCAUAUUUGAUACGCAAUCAAUAAGACGUUUCUAGUGGUGUGUCAUCUAAAUUCCACGUCAUUAAUAUUUGAGAUCCAACAGCUUGGCCAAUUGCAAGUGGUGGCGUCGAUCUUUCUGCCACGCCAUGAAUGCCAAUACUAGUAGUGCAUGUGAAAUUUUACCGUGCCACAGGUAAUCAAACAAGUUCAUUCAAAAACAAAAGCAAANNNNNNNNNNNNNNNNNNNNNNNNNNNNNNNNNNNNNNNNNNNNNNNNNNNNNNNNNNNNNNNNNNNNNNNNNNNNNNNNNNNNNNNNNNNNNNNNNNNNNNNNNNNNNNNNNNNNNNNNNNNNNNNNNNNNNNNNNNNNNNNNNNNNNNNNNNNNNNNNNNNNNNNNNNNNNNNNNNNNNNNNNNNNNNNNNNNNNNNNNNNNNNNNNNNNNNNNNNNNNNNNNNNNNNNNNNNNNNNNNNNNNNNNNNNNNNNNNNNNNNNNNNNNNNNNNNNNNNNNNNNNNNNNNNNNNNNNNNNNNNNNNNNNNNNNNNNNNNNNNNNNNNNNNNNNNNNNNNNNNNNNNNNNNNNNNNNNNNNNNNNNNNNNNNNNNCACACACAUCCAUCCAUGGUUUUACUAGCUAUGAUAUGUGAAUGUGUAGCUGUGAUAUGUGAAAGAGGGAAUUCUAUAUGUGCUAGAUGAUGUGUUGGUUAUUGCUGAGAUGGUUACCGGCCACCGAGCUAUGUGUUUUCUUGUUUUUAGGGAAUAUAUACAUAAGUGCUACAUGUAUAAUGUGGCUGUUAUAAUACAUUUAGUUGUCAUAUAUUGUAUAAUGCGGAUAGUAUAAUCUCUUUAGUUGUUAUAUAUUGUUGUUAUAUAUACAUGGUUCCUAGCUUAAUUAAAUACUUUGCUUAGUUUAGUAGGUAUAUUCAAAUCGACCACUGUCGUAGCCAUGAGUUCAUCUACGCCGAUGGACUCCUUCAACAAAAGCAACAACAACGUCGAUAUGGCGGCGGCCACACCAACGUGAGUAGCAACCGAGUAAGAACAUCUCAUAACUUGGUUCAUAGGUGUACAGUGUACUUUUCUUUACUUGAUAUGUUGGUCAUCAAACUUGUAGGAACAUCUCAUAGGUUUUGUGUGUAGGAACAUCGAAGUGUAGGAAUAACAAACACGAUUUGUUGACAAUAAAAAAAUCAUCUUGUCUUCUUCUUCAACAACAACUCUUCCUUUACUUCUAGUUAUGAUGGUCAUCAACUUAAUUCAAAGGUGUACUUUCCUUUACUUCUAGUUAGGAAGGUUUACAUAUAUGGUUUGUAUAUUUAUUUUCAUAGGUGUACAACUAAUUCAAUUUCAUGCAUGGUGAUUGCAAACAUUUCCUUAUAGGAUACCUAGGGAUUCAGAUCGAUAGGUUUGGGCAUGCUGAGGAAAAGGUAUAUGAUGUUGGCAGGCUCAACCAACCAGUAGCUUUUGGCCGCUCAAGAAGCUACCAUCACGCAACUUAAGGAUGUGAGGGAUUAGCUGCGGGGUGAGAGGGAUGGGCUGAUUGGCAAGACGGCUCAGCUCAUUGCUGAGAGGAAUGUGCACAAGGAUGAAAGGGAUCAACUGAAGAAGGAGAGGAAUCAGCCAAACUAUGAGGGGAAUGAGCUCAGAAGUCGCAAUGCUGCUUUUAUCAAAGAAGGGAUAGAGAAUAGGCAGAAGCUUCGAAAGAUCAAAUCAAUGGUUGAAGUCUAACACUUUUAUGUUAAGUUCAUCGAGAACGUAUCUAACUUGUUAAACUGCUAUGUUUAAUUAGUUAAACGAGUAAUGAUCUUAGAUGUUAAACCGCUAUGUUUAGUUGAUCGAGUACCUAUCUUAGUUGUUAAACUGCUAUGCUAAGUUAAACUGUUAUGUUGUUAUUUUAUACGUGAAACAUCAUACUGCUAAUGCGACACCAACAUGGCAUCACUGAUGAUGAAAUAUUACUGGUGACGUGGGACAAGUCACACACUAUCAGUAUAUAUGUUAGUGAUGGUGUGGGCUGCCAACACCAUCACUAUUUAUCAGUGGCGUCAUAUUGAUGGUGUGGAAUGACCACGCCACCACAACACUUUUUGCCACGACACCACUGGCAUUUCCUGCACUAAUGAACCACAUGCUAUUCACCAACAUCUGCAUGAGCAUGGUCGUCUCGCUGCUGCGAUUUUAUUCAUCGCAUUGUAGGAUUUGCAAGCGUGUGCCUCACGAGGUUCUUUUUCAAGAACACACGUGUCCCUUUGCAUUAAUUAAGGGAGGAACCAUUACAAAGUUCUAUACAAAGGUGGCAUUUUUUUCUUUUUGAGGCAACGGCUGCUCUUUCUUCCGGUGGAAAGCAAAAUGACCCUUUCGCUAGGGUUUCUCAUGCCUUUCGUCGGUGCUGCCGCCGGUCUACCUCGUCUCCUGUGGUUUUAGGGCCAUGAAGGCACGGUGAAUCCCGGCCCUUGUCGGCGGGAAGGCUCCGAUUUUCAUGUUUUUUUUUAGUUUUGUUAGGGUUUGUGUCCUGCUUAGAGACGCAGACGACGACGGUUCUCUGAAGAUGGAAUAAGGUUCUCCCCACCUAGUCCCCAUCCCGGUGGUGUUUCUAGCAUCGUCGGAGGGCGUGUGAAGAUUUGUCUCCGGCAGAUCUCGUGGGAUUUGGUUGACAUUUGUCUUCGGUGGAUCCACGUGGAUUUUGUAUUCGUUCGUGUGUGUAUAGGUUGGAUUCUUCCGAUCAACGCUUUUGUUCAUCAGCGAUGGUUGCUGUUAUGUUGUGCUUGUCCUAUAGGGCCUUAGCAUGAUGACUUCCGGACUAUAUACUACAACAAGGUUUGCUCGGCUUCGAUGAUGGAUGGGUGAACAUGGCGGUGCACCUUCGGCUCGCCCCAGUGCUUGUAGCCGUUGCUAGGUGGUCUACUGACCUAGAUUAAUUUUUGUACUUCUGAUGUUCUUUAUACUACCUUAACGGUUGAUGAAUAGAUAUGAAGUUUUCUCAAAAGGAAAAAAAUGUUCUAUACAAAGGUGCAGGCAAAGAGCGAUGCACCCGUCUACUGAAAAUGAAAAGAAAUACAUAUUGUUUGCGUUGACAAGAGUCCACCUAGCUAGGAUUUGCUCUCCUUCCAUGCAGGAGACUCUUGGACUACCAAAACCUCGGUUGUACUAACAUACAAGGUCGGUGCUUUCCUACAAUUUAAAGACGACCCACACGGCCAACGCUACUAGAGAUCGAAUUUUCUUUAUCAACAACAGAACAGAAAAAAUAUUAUGUUGGUCGCCGGCGGCUGGUUCACCGGGGUGCUGUCGUCGUUGACGAGGUUCCUCUUCAUGUGGUCCAUGGCGCACCAGUGCGUUCCAGAUUUUAUCAGGAACUACGUCCACAGCCUCGCUAGCCGCAUCGUGGACGCCAUAUCCCCCUACGACACCGUCACCAUGGACGAGCGCCACCCCGACUACUUCGGCCGCAACCAGGCCUACGCCACCACCGAGGCCUACCUCACCGCCACCUGCCGGUCCGGCGCCCGCUGCCUCCGCGCCACCCUCGGCUUCGACAACGACCGCAUGAGCCUCGCCCUGGACGACCACGAGGAUGUCGUUGACCACUUUCGCGGCGCCAACAUGCGCUGAAGCAAGAUCAAGGUGGUUCCCCGUGCCACCACCAUCGUCACCAACGGCCCCGGCCGCACCGGGGAGCGCCGCAUGUACCGCCUCACCUUCCACCGCCGCCACCGGCGGCUUGUCGAGGACGCCUACCUGCCGCACGUCCUCGCCGAGGGCCGUGACGCCAUCGCCAGGGCCCGCCAGCGCAGCCUCCACACCAACAAGCCCAAGGACGACUGGGAGGGAGACUACGACGCCUGGAGCAGCGUCAAGUUCGAGCACCCCUCCACCUUCUCCACCCUCGCCAUGGACCCCACCAGGAAGCAGGAGAUCCUUGACGAUCUCCAGAUGUUCCGUGACAGCAGGGACUACUACGCCUCCAUUGGCAAGACGUGGAAGCGGGGUUACCUGCUGUUUGGGCCUCCUGGCAGUCUGGCACCGGCAAGUCCACCAUGAUCGCCGCCAUGGCCAACUUCCUCGACUACGACGUCUACAACCUCGAGCUCACGUCGGUCAAGAGCAACACGGAGCUAAAGAGACUCUUCAUUCGCACAAAAGGCAAGUCCAUCAUCGUUAUUGAGGACAUUGAUCGCUCCAUCGAUCUCACAGGCAAGCGCAGUAACAAGAAGAAGACGGACGAUGGAGAAAAGGACAAGGAGAGCAAGGUCACGCUGUCCGGGGUGCUCAACUUCAUUGACGGGCUAUGGUCUGCUUGUGGAGGAGAACGGAUCAUUGUGUUCACGACCAACCACAAGGAGAACCUAGACCCGGCACUGAUCCGACGUGGCAGGAUGGACAUGCACAUCGAGAUGUCCUACUGCUGCUUCGAGUCCUUCAAGGUGCUCGCCAAGAACUACCUUGGUGUCGAAGAGCAUUAUAUGCUCAGUGAGAUUCGGCAGCUUCUAGGCGAGGUCAACAUAUCGCCGGCUGAUGUAGCAGAGAAUCUGAUGCCUAGGUCGAAGGAGAAGGACGUGGACAGCUGUCUCGGUAGACUGGUUAUGGCGCUUAAGGAGAAAUCAUCUGCUAGGAACAAAGAUGGAGAUGAGAAUGACAAUAGUGGCAAACAACAGGAGGAAGACAAGAACAAAAAGCGCGACAUUAGCAACGAUGACAAGAAAGAAGAUGAUGUACCAUGAUAGCAUAUAGAGUUAGUAAGUGCAUGUGUAGAUAUAAUUUUUAACACAAGAGUAUAUGUACACUUGCAUUCGAGUUGGUCCGUUAGGGUGCCUGCCCCAUGUGUCUUUUUGGUUGUGGUAUCUUACUUGCAAUCAAGUUAAAAAUAUAGAUACCAUGUGACACAUGUGGUAAGCAAUCCAAACAAUCCAAAAAACAAGUUAAAAAUAUAGAUUAUGUGAAAUUUAUACAAGUGUCAAUUGGCGUGGUUUGCUCGUCCCAAUUUUUUGUCAACUUUUCCGCUUCAAAAUCUGCAAGAAUUUAUAUGUUUCCAUCAUUUUCGUGUGAGUUUGUCGUAGUAGACUAGUACUAGGAGAGAGUGUUUCUACACAUGCAUAGAUGAACCCCUUUUCUUAUUUGUUUGAGGGAAGACAAGACGGCCCUUCAAAAAUAAGUACAUACGGACACUAUCUUCUUACAAACUGAUAUAUCGAUUAAAUAUACUUCUCUGGUUUGACUUGAUCAUGAAUAUAUGUAUGCUAGUUAAUUCAGCUGCACAUAUACACAUACCACGAAUGUGUGAAUCCAGCAGUUUGUACAAUGUAUUUAGAAAUUUACCUGCUUUAGAUGUGCGAAGUUAGGAAACGCGUAAAAUAUAUGUUAGGGCAUGUACAAUGGUGCUAUCUUAGAGGUGCCACAUAGGAUAAAUAUUGACGUGAAGGAGAGAGAAAUCAUAAGAAAAAGGCUUUGUUUUCUCUUAUUUAAGAGAUAAUCUCUUAGCACAAUAUGUCUCUUCACGUUUUUAGGAAUAGCUAGUUAUUGAAGGUAAGGUUAAGAGGUAACCCGUUGUAGAUAUACUUUUAUCGGGGGAUUGGAUGAUUUGCCCCACUUUACAAGGGGUUUGUUGAUUUGCCCCAGGGUGCAAAAGAUCCAAUUUCUCUAUUGUCAUCUCUCAAUUACAUGCAAGGCUUAAGAUAAGACUGUCUUAUCAACCAUUGUACAUGCCCUUAGGUGUUAGAACAUUUUUUUAAAUCAUUAAAUGUUACUAAACAUUAUUUUUGAAUGGUACAAAACAUUUUUUAAUUACUUGAAUUUUUUUGCACUGCAUAAACAUUUUUAAGAGUAGCACAAACAAAUUUCUGAAACAUGUAGGCAACUUGAUUGAUCUACAGGAAGCUAGCAGUAUGUAUGCAUGGCUGGAUUUUAAUUGAAUGCAGUGCUGCUGAAUUUGUUUAGCUAGCGACCAGAACCUAUUAUGCUGUUGUUUGUUUGUUGUUGCUUCAGUUAAGCUUCACAAGACAUGUACUGUACUUGUACCUUGCAUGUGUUUGAUAAUAUAUGUGAAGAAGAAAGAUGCAAUGCGGCCUUGGAGCGGUGAUGCCCUAUUUUAGGAUAGCUGUUUGGAGACAGCGCUUGCUCGUGCCCAAAAAAAUAUAUCAGUUUUCGUGUCCAAAAGUUUACUUCGCCGCUUUUCGUGUCAAAAAAUAAGGCUGAUGUUGGAGAUGCUCUAAAUGUGUGACUGUUUGGUUGUCCUUGUUGCUAUCUCUUAUAACUCUCUUGAUCAAUCUGCUUAUGGCCACUUGAUUGCAGAAUUAGAAAUUUCAUGGAAGCUUGCAGGUGAGUUCCUCUGAAAUUAGAAUGCGAGCAAAAUAGGGUAUUCUCAUUGUCUAGCUAAUCAUGGUUAUUACGUUGGUAGCACCCCUCGUUAGCUGUGUCAGGUUCCAUGUUGUAUCUCUUAAGCUUGCAUUAGCGGACUAUAAUUCUAUUCUUAUGAAAUAAAACCUAUUCUUUCUCCCAGAAAAAGUAUCUAGCGUCAUCACGUUUCUUCUUGUUUGAGAGUGUGUCUUCCUGUUUCAUGUAUCUCAGCAAAAUCUGGGCGCACAUACUUGAACACAUUUAAUAAUACUAGAUCAAUGCACGCUAUAUAGUAUGCACGGUUGAAAAACACUACCUAUUAACCCGCAAAAAAACACUCUGUCACUAGCCUACUAAAAAUUUAUGUAUAAAUUCAAGCAGUUAUUGAGGAGAAAAAAUGACAAAAAGAUUCACCCAAACAAAGCAGGUGAGUGGGGCUCUUGUAUAAAUUCACAUCAAUGUAAUUUGUUUUACUUGAAAGGAAGAUAAACCAACUGAUUCGUGUCAGCACCCUACGGACUACUGAUUCGGAUGCAAUGAUACAUAUUUUGUGUUAUACUCUAUGUACGCAUGCAUUUACUGACUCACACAUUUGUAUAUGCUAUCGUGGGCAGAAUUAUUGAUCCUCGUCUUCUUUCUUGUCGUCACUAUCGUCUUCCUCCUCUUCUUCGUCACUACUGUCAUUCUCUUCUUCAUCUUUGUCCCCGGCAGAUGCUUUCUCCUUGAGCGCCAUAACCAAUCUACCGAGGCAGGCGUCCACGUCCUUCUUCUUUGACCUAGGCAUCAGGUUCUCCGCUACAUCAGCCGGCGACAUGUUGACCUCGCCUAGAAGCUUCCGAAUCUCACUGAACAUAUCGUGCUCCUCGACACCAAGGUAGUUCUUGGCAAGCACCUUGAAGGAUUCGAAGCAGCAGUACGACAUCUCGAUGUGCAUGUCCAUCCUGCCACGCCGGAUCAACGCGGGGUCUAAGUUCUCCUUGUGGUUGGUCGUGAAGACAAUAAUUCGCUCGCCUCCGCAUGCGGACCAUAGACCGUCGAUGAAGUUGAGCACCCCGGACAGCGUCACCUUGGUCUCCUUGUCCUUGUCUUCAUCGUCGUCCUUCUUCUUCUUGCCCUUCUUACCGCGCUUGCCUGUGAGAUCGAUGGAGCAGUCGAUGUCCUCAAUGACGAUGAUCGACUUGCCUUCCGUGUCGAUGAAGAGCCUCUUCAGCUCGGUGUUGUUCUUGACCGUCAUCAGCUCAGGUCAUAGACGUCGUAGUUGAGGAAGUUGGCCAUGGCCGCGAUCAUGGUGGACUUGCCGGUGCCAGGAGGCCCAAACAAGAGGUAACCUCGCUUCCAUGUCUUGCCGAUUGAGGCGUAAUAGUCCUUGCCGUCACGGAACAUCUCGAGAUCGUCAAGAAUCUCUUGCUUCUUGGUGGGGUCCAUGGCGAGGGUGGAGAAGGUGGAGGGGUGCUCGAACUUGAGGCUGCUCCAGCCGUAGUCCCCGGACCAGUCGUCCUUGGGCUUGUUGGUGUGGAGGCUGCGGUGGCGGUUUCUGCUGAUGGCGUCACGACCCUCGGCGAGGACGUGCGGCAGGUAAGCGUCCUCGACGAGCCCCCGGUGGCGGCGGUGGAAGGUGAGGCGGUACAUGCGGCGCUCCUCGCUGCGGGCGGGCCCCUUGGUGAUGAUGGUUGUGACGCGGGGAAACACCUUGAUCUUGUUCCAGCGGAUGUCGGCGCCGCGGAAGUUGUCGACGACCUCGUGGUCGUCCAUGGUGAGGCUCAUGCGGUCGUCGUCGAAGUCGAGGGUGGCGAGGAGGCAGCGGGCGCUGGACGCGCAGGUGGCGCUGAGGUAGGCCUCGGCGGUUUCGUAGGCCUCGUUGCGGCCGAAGCAGUCGGGGUCGUGCUCGUCCAGGGUGAUGGUGUCGUAGGGGGAUAUGGCGUCCUUGAUCCGGCUGAUGAGGGUGUCGACGUAGUCCCUGACAAUGUCUGGAACGCACUGCUGCGCCAUGGACCACAUGAACAGGAGGUUCGUCAACGACGACAGCACCCGCGUGAACCAGCCGCCGGCGACCAACAUGUCCAUGGCUCGAUCUCGAUCUCGAUCUCUACUAGUAGUAUCUUUUGUUUGAUAAUAAAUUCGAUAUCUACUUGUGCAUCACGUGGGUCGUCUUUAUAUGCCCGAAGCACCGACCUUCUGAAUUCAAGUACAACGCAAACCCUAGAUGCAUGGACUCUGUCAACGGAGAAAAUAUGAACACAUGCACGAGCGAAAUUUCCUUUGGGAGACUAGUAGUCUUUGCACGGGUUACGAUUCCGGUUUCCCAAAGGAAACUAGAUACACGGAGCUUGCAAAGGAAAAAGAGAUUCCCCGCUCCUAGGGUUCCCCCGCGCCUUCGCCGCCGCCGGCCUGCGCCACCGGGCCCUGCCCACAUGGUGUUGGCGGCGGCGGCGGCGGCCUUCCCUUCCCCACGCGUGGUGCCAUGGCUCGGGUGGUGGCGUCCCGCGGCGGUGCUCCUCGGUCGACGGUGGUUCCGGCAGCGGCGGCUGCUCGAGGCGGCGCGCUCUGGGUGGCCUAGAGGCGGCGGCGCGGCCACUUGGCGGCGGGCUGGCGCAGUGGAUGGUGGCGGUGCCCUCCUGGCCUAGAUCCGGGCCCUUUUGGGCCCAAUCUGGGUCUGGGCGGGCCUGUCUCGGUCUCGCCUGCGACGGCUCCGGCAGGGGCGGUGGUGGCGCGGAUCGUGCGGGGGGUUGUGGAGACGGCGACGCGUCUACUGCAGCUCGGCGACGGGUGCUUCACGAGCCCCUUUUGGGCUCGGCCGGGCCUCGAGGGCCUGGUACGCUCCCCUUGCCGCGUCCGGUCGGUGACCGCCGAUGGCGGUGGAGGUUGUCUCCUCCGGCGUGGCUGUUGUCGCUGCCGCUCCUCGUUCCCUGCUGCUCCCUCUCGUCCUCGUCGGUCUUGCUUCGAUGACCAUGGUGAGGCGGCGGUGAUGAUGGCAAGACCGUGGUGGCGCACGUUCGUGGGUGGCUUGUCUGGUGGAGCACGUCGGACCGUUCGGGGUUGUGGGUGUUUGGCGGAUGGGUGAAAUCCGUGCCGGCUUGCCGGCACCGACGCUGUGACGCCCGUGGGCGCCAUCGUUCCUACCUGAAGGGCGUCGGGUCUUCCCCUUCCCCACUCCCCUCCGCAUACCGGGGGAAACCCUAGGACCUGUCCGGGCAGCAUCGUCGUCGUUGUCGUGUUCCUUCCUGAAGGUGCUGCUUAGUAUGCGGAGGUUCGAGGUGCCUGGAGCGAGGUGGUACAUCUCCGGUGGGCACAACGGUUUCGGAUUAUCAUCGUUUUCGCUGAUCCGACGUUGUUAACAUUAUUUUCUCUCUUCUUUCUCUUUUGUUUCUUUUGGGCAUGCUUGUGCUGUUUUCCCCAGCAUUGGACUCUUUGUUGUAUCGGGCAGUUGCUAUAUCUAUAUAGCGUGGCGAAAGCCUUUUCCUUAACUAGAUACACAGCUAAACCGACGUUUUUCUCUCCAUAUGUAAGUAUAAACCUGUAUUGCGGCUACGCCAAACUCAAACUAAUGCAAGACCGCUGUGAAGAAACUGUGUGAUGAACAGUAACAAUUGAUGUUUAUUGACAAUGAUGAUGGACAUAUUUAUACCUCCCGAAGAGGCGCGGCACACAUGCGCGAUGGUUACAAUAGGCACGAGAUGAGAAUGACGCGUCUAUUGCAUUAGGAUGCGAUUGUUUGGGAGAGAAACCGCAUGUCGGUUCCACGGGCAGAGAUUCCAUUUAAUUAAUUAAUCCUAACACUCCUUCUAAUCUUUGCUUCAAUUAUUCUUGUAAACAUCAUCAUCAACAUCUUGAUCAUCAUCAUCAUGAUCACUCUCCUCCAGAAACCCUGUAUGAAAAAUAUGAAGAGAUAUGUAGAAUAUGCCGUAAAAUUUCCUUCCAAAAACCCAGUGAGAAAAUAGAGAGAAAGUGACAUAUCACCAUGUCUGCAUUACUAUUUCCACAUUAAAAACCUUCCAUAAGAAAUCAUUCAGAAAAAACAUAGUAUAAAGGAAAAGAGUGCAAUAUCAAAGAUCUAAGGAGUUUCAUACCAAUUCCUUUGAUAUACUUCUCAAAUAAAGAACUUGGUAAUAACUUUGUAAACAAAUCAGCAAGAUUAUCAAAUGACUUUGUUUGCAAAAUAUUUUUCUCCCCGUUUUGUUGUAACUCAUGGGGAUAAAAUAACUUAGGAGAAACAUGCUUUGUAAUCUUACUCUUUAUAUAACACUACUAGGAGAAAGCUUAUAGAUAGAACCUUAGCAGUAGCGCGAGCUUGGGGUGCGGCACUACUGCUACUUAGCAGUAGUGCAUGGUGUAAACCGGCGCUACAGGUAUAGAUGUAGCAGUAGCAUUGGACAGCCUACCAGCACUACUGCUAAGUGGAUCCAUCCUCGUCCAUCGGGGCUGACCGUAGUUGUAGUGGCAGUUGAAAAGUAGCGCUACAACUAAUAUAUUAGCAGUAGUGCUUGUCGGAUGACCGCCGCUACCGCUAUUUGUGCACGGUGCCAGAAGGUGGGCCAUACUUAGCAGUAGCGCCGGUCAACAGGCCAGCACUACUGCUACAAAAUUUAGCAGUAGCGUCGUUUUCUAUCCAGCACUACUGGUAAGUCUAACUUAUCUUCACCCGCGGCCCUCACUGUCCAUCUCCACUCUCUAUCUCCAUCCCCGUCGCUGCCACUGCCGCCCCCGCAUUGCCGCCGCCACAUUGCUGCAUCCCGCUGCCGCCAUCGCUCCCCUGGUAUGUCUUCCUCCCUCCUCCCUCCCUCCUUCCCCCAUCCCUCCGACCCUCCUCCCUUCCUCCUCCAUCCCUUCUACCCUCUCCCUCCUCCCUCCCUCCCACCUCUCCCUACGACCCUCAACCUCCAUCCCUCCCUCCCAACCUCUCUCCUGCAUUGCAUAAAUGGAUGGAUUGAACUAGGCUUUUUAGUAAUGCUUUGGAUAGAUAGAUAGAUGGAUGGAUGGAUAGAUGUCAAUGUUAGAACUAGGGUAUUUUUGUAAUAAAAAAUUUCAGUAAAAAACUAGUAAUACAAUUUUUAGUAAAUGUAGGUCUUUUGAAUUAGCAUAAUAAUGUUUUUUUAUAUUUUGUUUUGCAGAAAUCAAGGAGCCCCUGCAUCGUCCCCGUCACCGACCCCCUCCGUCCUUGAGGUGAGACCAGCCAAAUCCCCAUGUCGUUGAUGUCGAUGAUGAUGUACAUGUUUUUAUAGAUGUAGUAGAGUAGUAGAUGAGUAGUUGUGACAAUGAGUAUUCCCCGAGCGAAAAGAGUCCUCUCCGCAGGAUACUCCCACGACCCACGAGCUAGGGUUCAUCCCUUGCUCCCCCUGCCGCCGACGGCCACACUCGCCCCCUCCCGCUAGCGCCGGCCGUCGUCGCACACGCCCCCCGGCCCACCUCCCUCUCCCCCUCCGCCUCCCCUCCCCCGGCGCUCCUGUCGCCCCCCGAGGCGGCGGAGCGCCCCCUUGCCCUCCUCCCCGUCUCGACCCCCUUCUCCUCCAUCUCCCUUCGCCGCCGCCGGCAGCGGCCUCCGACGUGCUCGGGUGGCACCGACGGCGGCGGACAUCCCUUCCCCGCGCGCCUGGAAGGGGUGUCGGGGCUCCCUCCUGCCCGGCGGCGGUGUUGUUUGGCUGGCGGCGGUGGGGCCCGACAGCGGAGUUCUGCGGGCCUCGGGUGCGCUCGAUGCCGCGGCGUGGCCGUUGGCUGCGGGGCGGCACGGUGGGCAGCUGGUCGGCGGCGCCCGCUUGGCCCAGAUCUGGGCCCUUUUGGGCCCUAUCUGGGUUGGGGCAGGCCUGCGGUCCAGGGCGUGAUGGCAUGGCUCCCUGGUGGUGAGACGAGGCGGCUGUGGCUGCGGUGGUGGUGGCUCCAGCGGCCGGCAUGCUACAGCGUGGCUGCAGGGACUGUCCGGACCCGUUGGGGUCCGGCCGGGCCGGUGGUGGCCUGGCAAGUCCCUGUCACUACGCCUGGUCGGCUCCGCACGGCGGUGGAGGUUGUUCCCUCCUGUCGGCCGUGUUGCUGUAGCCUCCGAGCCCGGUGUCUUCUCGUCCUACCUCCAGGUCUCGUGUUGGUGACCUCACUGAGACGGUGAAGAUGGUGCGGUAUCCGUGGUGGCACAGACUGGUGGGCGGCAUGUUGGGUGGUGCGCUUUCGAUUGUAUGGGGUGGUGGUGGUGGUUUCGGGGCGGGAGAAAUCUCUGGCGGCUCGUUCACCACCGGCGCGGCCGCGCCCAUGGGCGUUGCCGGACCCUCUCGAGGGGCGUCGGUGACACCCCUUCCCACUGCCAUUCGUGUACCGAAACCCUAGGACUUGUCCGGGCAGCAGCGUCGUCAUCGUCGCAUUUAUUCAUGAAGAUGUUGCUUGGUAUGCGAGGCUUCAGUGUGCUUGGCGGGCGGUGGUACUUCUCCAGACGGUGCAGUGGAUGUCGGCCAUCUUUGCUUAGUUGAACUUCCGGUGUUGGCAUUUGUCUCCUUUUUCUUUCUCUCCUUUUUCUUUUGGGCUUGUUUAUCGUACGGCCCCAACAAGCUGGUUGUAUCGGUUGGACAUUACUUUAUAAUCUAAAGCGGGGGGAAACCCCUUUUCGUCGGUAGUUGUGACAAUGUGAUGAAGCUAGUUUUUUUAGAAAGUAUCCAUGAGGCUACUCCCUGUUAUAUGCACUUCUGUUUCAUUAUUGAUUUUGAAAAAUGCUGACAAAAUGGAUGCAUAGAUGCAUUUUGUAGGGAACACCUCCGAGAGUGGCCUAUGUUUUGCCGUAAUGUUGAUUCAUUUCCGUUCCUACAAAUUUCAGACACUCGAUAUGUCCUAAUUUAGCGAAGGUCAUGCCGAAUUUUUUCGUGAAUUUUGGCAUGACUUGUGCUAGAAAGUAGGAAAUAUCGUGUGCCCAUGAUUUGCCGGAACGGGAAUUAAUCGACAUCCCGACAGAACAUAGGCACUUUUUAUGUCAUUGGUCCAUAUAUGUAACGGGUUGACAUUCUGUCUGUCAGGUCUCCUUGUCCAUAUAUGGGAGAGAGGAAUCCUGACUGUUGUCGUGGGGGUAGCUUCUUCUUCAUUCGAAGGUGCUAGACAUUUUGGUGUAAUGCACUUUCGAAUGAAAGGAGGAGCUACCAUCACUGACGGACGCAAAUAUCAGAGAGAAAGAAUCCCGAUAGUUCUCGUGGGGGUCGCUUCUCCUUCGUUCCCGUGUGCUAGACAUUUUGGUGCAACGCACUCGGGAAGGAAGGGAGGAGCGACCAUCACUGACGGUCUAUUAUAUCAGAGAGGGAGUGCCCACCAUAUACACCACGUGAGAUGAGAGUUUUCAAGGAAAGAAUCGACAGAUCGACAGUCAACCCGUGCUGAAUAGUGAUCUGCGUGUUGAGUUUUAGGUAAUUGCCGUCGAUCUAUUUUUAAUCUUCAAAUUAUGAACAUAGGAAAUGUCUGACGAUGCUAAGAUCCCUGAGUGCGACUACUGCGACGACGGCCGGGGUCUGCGCAACAUGCCUCACCUGAAAGAUGGUCAGCGCUUCACUAUUAAGCUCGACGAGACCUUCGAUGUUUGUAUGGUACGCAACGACGGCAAAUCUUUUUUCGUAAUUAAGCAUGACUUCUGCUUCUUCAACAUGUAAUUUCUGUUUUUUACACAUCAACUAGCGCGUCCCCUGCCAUGCGAGACGGUAUGUCUUGGAGAAGCUGGAGUUCAAAGAUCAUGAGAAUAUGGAGAUAAAGAAAGUUCACCUCCAGACCCAACAUGGUUACACUAUGUAACGCCCUCGAUGCGGCUAUGUCUCCCACGUGUCGAGGCACGACUUAGAGACAUAGGCGCAUUGAAAGCAAUGUCGCAAGUCGGGAAUCAUUACACAACCCAUGUACAUAUAUAAUAUAAAGGGGAAUAAUAGCAUAGUUGGCUUACACUCGCCACGUCACAUCAAAGUACAUAAAUAACAUUCAUCAUACAAUCACUCAUGGCCCGACUACGGCGCCAAAAUAGAAAAGACCCCCAACAAGCGACUAGGUCCUGGAUCUAACCCCGAAUAGGCAUCCCUACUGAUCAUCCGGAAAAGACACAUAGUAACGCCGAGAGUCCUCGUCGUACUCCCACUUCAGCUCGAGCGCGCCAUCCGGAGAGGUAUCAUCUGUCCCUGCAUAUGGUGUAAUAGUAAUCUGUGAGCCACAAAGGACUCAGCAAUCUCGCACCCUCGCGAUCAAGACUAUUUAAGCUUAAUAGGUAGGAAAGGGGUAAUGUAAGUGGAGCUGCAGCAAGCGACUAGCAUAUGUGGUGGCUAACUUAUUCGCAAAGGAGAGCGAGAAGAGGGGGCAAAGCACGAGCGGAAAACUAGAGAGCAGCCUACGCAAACAUAACUCCAACGCCGUGUCCACUUCCCGGACUCCGCCGAGAAGAGGCCAUCACGACAACACACGCAGUUGAUUCAUUUUAAUUAUUUAGGUUCAAGUUAUCUACAACCGGACAUUAACAAAUUCCCAUCUGCCCAUAACCGCGGGCACGGCUUUCGAAAGAUCAAUCCCUGCAGGGGGGUCCCAACUUAGCCCAUAACAAGCUCUCACGGUCAACGAAGGAAUAGACCUCCACCCAGGACCCACCGAUCAGACUCGGUAUCCCGGUACAACAAGAUGAUUCGACAGGUCAAAACUAGUCCAGCAACACCGCCCGAAUGUGCCGACAAAUCCCGAUAGGAGCUGCACAUAUCUCGUUCUCAGGGCACACUCAGAUGAGUAAACCGUACAACUAAAACCAGCCCUCAAGUUUCCCCGAGGUGGCGCUGCACAGGGCUCUAGUUCGGACCAACACUCAGAGGAGCACUGGCCCGUGGGGGGGGGGCUAAAAUAAAGAUGACCCUCGGGCUCCGGAAACCCAAGGGAAAGAAAAGGGGUAGGUGGCAAAUGGUAAAACCAAUGUUGGACAUUACUAGAAAAGCUUUAAUCAAGGCGAACUAUCAAGGGGUUCCCAUUAUAGCCCAACCGCGUAAGGGACGCAACAAUCCGGGAACAUAACACCGAUAUGACGGAAACUAGGGCGGCAAGAGUGGAACAAAACACUAGGCGAGAGGCCGAGCCUUCCACCCUUUACCAAGUAUAUAGAUGAAUAAAGAUAACAUAGCAAUAUAAUGAUAUCCCAACAAGUAAAUAAAUGUUCCAACAAGGAACGGCUCCAAUCUUCACCUGCAACUAGCAACACUAUAAGAAGGGGCUUGAGCAAAGCGGUAACAUAGCCAAUCAAUGGUUUGCUAGGACAAAGGUGGGUUAGAGGCUCAAUCAUGGCAAUUGGGAGGCUGACAAGCAAGUGGUAGGCAUCGUAGCAUUGGCAAAGCAAAAGAGCGAGCGAACUAGCAUAGCAAAGAUAGUAGUGAUUUCGAGGGUAUGAUCAUCUUGCCUGCACAGUUGUCAGAGUUGACUGGAUCCUUAAAAGCAAACUCAACGGGCUCCUCGUUAGCGAACUCGUCUCCCGGCUCUACCCAACAACACAAACAAGAAACAAGGAUACAAUCAACCACGUGCAAGUGCAACCAAUAAUAUGCAAAGACGAUAUGCUAUGCGGGAUGCGAUGCGGGAUGCAAAAUGCAAGACGUGACAGGAAAUGCAUGAACCUGGCCUCAACUUGGAAAACCAAGUGUGCCACUGGAUAGAGGGGAAGAAAUCCCCUGAAAACGAUAUAAAGAUCAUGGCAAUCGGAGCUACGGUUUGGAAAUGGCAAGUGUUUUACAAAACGAACCGAUCUGCGAUUUACAGCAAGUAGGCUCCUAAAUGCAAGGAAAUGAACAUGCUACAGCAACCAAACAUGAAAACAAAUUGCAUGGCAGUGAUUUACUCAAGACGCUUAACAAAUCACCAGGACUGAGGCAUAGGCAAAUUCAUCUAUUAAGGGCUUCAAACAAGCAUGGCAAAACUGAAUAAGCAAAACAGAUUUCAGACUUAGCGAAAUUAACGCUAGUCUGAAAUUUCAGACCACGGUGCUCUUUUCGGAGCAGCAAAACAACAUGAAGCAAAACCUGAGCAUGGCAAGUAAGAGCAUGGCAUGGAGCUACUCAACAAGCUUAACAAAACACCCAAAAUGACCUGGGGCCAAAAAGGUUCACAAAAUACUCUACCGAGCACACGAACAUCGAUGAAACACAAUCAGUUUUCAGACUUAGUGAAAACUGGGACAUGCUGAAAUCAUAACUCACGGAGGCAUGUAAACGAGCUCGAUGCACUCACUACGGUGCAAGUCAUGGAAAGGCAAGCAUAUAUCCAUUAAUAAGGCACAAAAUGCUAGCUAGACAUGGCAAGAACAAUGGCAUAUCAUACAUGGAUCACUAGCAAUAGCUCCCGCAAAAUCGCAAAAGAGUUCACGAUCUGCCCAAAACAACAACUAUGCAAAAGUUGAGCUCGAUUGAGUCAACCUAGGGGGCUCCAACAUAACAAGUAAAGACAUGGAUGGAUUAAGCACAACAAGCAUAACAAAUCACUCUUACUGAUCAUCCUCAAAAGAGGCACAGAUCACUAGGAAACAAGCUGGACAUAUAGCAUCGUGAACUAAAACAUCCCAGACUUAGUGAUUUUCACUAAGUCCCUGAAAUCAGUAAACUCAGGUACCCCACUUUGCAAGCUUGCACAAGACAACACACACAUCCUAAAAAUGCAAGGGAGGCACCUCUGGAAAGAAGACAACAUGCUUAACAAUUCAUCCCAAAGGGGCACAUGCAUAUCAUGCAAACAAUAAUAAUGGCAAAAAUGACAAAAGUCAAUGUAGGGCUAACGGAUCUGCAAUUUAACUCAUGAUGCCUCCUUCCAACAGCAUUUUGGGCACCAAGAUGACCUCAAAUGCAAAUGAUGCAAUGUAAUGAAAUGAUGUACUCGUCGAGACGAAGAUUUUGAUAUAUCAUAUGCCCAAAUCAGAGCUAUGGAUGCAAAGAUAUGGCAGGUCAAAGUAGGCAUAAAAUCUGGAAAAAAUUAGGUCAAAAGUCAACCGAGAAUUUGGAUCUGAGAUCCAGAUCGGGCACGGACUUCGGAGUUCGCCGGUUUUUACUGUAGCUCGUCGGAGAUCGUGACGAAAGCCGGCGUGGAGGGAGGAGGAAGAGGCCGGCGGGGUCCGGGCGUCGGCGGGGGCGGCGUCCCGCGGCGGCGCGGCGUGGAGGCGGCGGGGCCNNNNNNNNNNNNNNNNNNNNNNNNNNNNNNNNNNNNNNNNNNNNNNNNNNNNNNNNNNNNNNNNNNNNNNNNNNNNNNNNNNNNNNNNNNNNNNNNNNNNNNNNNNNNNNNNNNNNNNNNNNNNNNNNNNNNNNNNNNNNNNNNNNNNNNNNNNNNNNNNNNNNNNNNNNNNNNNNNNNNNNNNNNNNNNNNNNNNNNNNNNNNNNNNNNNNNNNNNNNNNNNNNNNNNNNNNNNNNNNNNNNNNNNNNNNNNNNNNNNNNNNNNNNNNNNNNNNNNNNNNNNNNNNNNNNNNNNNNNNNNNNNNNNNNNNNNNNNNNNNNNNNNNNNNNNNNNNNNNNNNNNNNNNNNNNNNNNNNNNNNNNNNNNNNNNNNNNNNNNNNNNNNNNNNNNNNNNNNNNNNNNNNNNNNNNNNNNNNNNNNNNNNNNNNNNNNNNNNNNNNNNNNNNNNNNNNNNNNNNNNNNNNNNNNNNNNNNNNNNNNNNNNNNNNNNNGCGGACGUUGUCCGGUCGGAUCCGGACACGUCCGUCGGUGGGGGGGGGGGUUGAUCUGUUUUUUUAGGAGGACGGGGAGGAAGACGAGAUCCGAAAAAUGGGGGACCUUUAAAUAGGCAUAGAGGGAGCUAGGAGAGUCCAAAUAAGGUGCGGUUUUCGCCCACACGAUCGUGAUCGAACGACCGAGAUGAUGGAGCAGAGUUUGGUGGGUUUUGGGCCAAAUUGGAGGGGUGUUGAGCUGCACACACACGAGGCCUUUUCGGUCCCUCGGUUAACCGUUGGAGUAUCAAACGAAGUCCAAAUGACCCGAAACUUGACAGGCGGUCUACCGGUAGUAAACCAAGGGCGCAUGGCAAGUCUCGGCCCAAUCUGGAAAUGUUUAAUCCCCACACAUGAAAGAAAGCUAGAAAUGGCCACCGGAGGAGAACGAAGCGCCAGAAUGCAAAACGGACAACGGGGAAAAUGCUCAAAUGCAUGAGAUGAACAUGUAUGCAAAUGCAAUGCACGUGAUGACAUGAUAUGAGAUGCACGAAAACAAAAACAACACACGGAGACAAGGACCCGAACCCGAG